AAAGCUGGCUAAAGUGAUCCGGUGGUUCUGUAUGGAAGGGCCAUCGCUCAAAGGAUAAAGGUACGCCGGGGAUAACAGGCUGAUCUCCCCCAAGAGCUCAUAUCGACGGGGAGGUUUGGCACCUCGAUGUCGGUUCGUCACAUCCUGGGGCUGGAGAAGGUCCCAAGGGUUCGGCUGUUCGCCGAUUAAAGUGGCACGUGAACUGGGUUCAGAACGUCGCAAGACAGUUCGGUCCCUAUCUGUUGUGAUCGUUAGUAAAUUGCGGGGACAUGACCUUAGUACGAGAGGACCGGGUCGUACGUACCGCUGGUGUAUCAGUUGUGCCGCCAGGUGCAGUGCUGAGUAGCUAUGUACGGAAAGGAUAAACGCUGAAAGCAUCUAAGCGUGAAACCUACCUCAAGAUGAGUUUACUUUUAAGGGCCGUCGGAGACUACGACGUUGAUAGGCUACAGUGUAAGGGUGGUAACAUCGAAGCCGAGUAGUACUAAUUGCCCGUAAGCUUUAAUUUAU
This 510-nucleotide ribosomal RNA is filed under the name Chitinophaga pinensis. RNAcentral's name for it is "partial 23S ribosomal RNA". It matches the Rfam family "Bacterial large subunit ribosomal RNA", at positions 2402 to 2925 of the family's 2925-position model. Lineage: Bacteria; Pseudomonadati; Bacteroidota; Chitinophagia; Chitinophagales; Chitinophagaceae. The record is from RNAcentral.